This 301-nucleotide ribosomal RNA is filed under the name uncultured bacterium. RNAcentral describes it as "partial 16S ribosomal RNA". It matches the Rfam family "Bacterial small subunit ribosomal RNA", at positions 509 to 807 of the family's 1533-position model. The record is from RNAcentral.
CAGUAGCCGCGGUAAGACAAACCGUGCGAACGUUAUUCGGAAUCACUGGGCUUAAAGCGCGUGUAGGCGGAUGGGAGCGUCGGCCUCUGAAAUCCCCCAGCUCAACCGGGGAAGUGGAGCCGAAACGACCCGUCUGGAGGGACGUAGGGGGACCUGGAACUUCCGGUGGAGCGGUGAAAUGCGUUGAGAUCGGAAGGAACGCCCGUGGCGAAAGCGAGGUCCUGGACGUCUGCUGACGCUGAGACGCGAAAGCCAGGGGAGCGAACGGGAUUAGAUACCCCGGUAGUCCCUGUCUCUUAUA